ACCGACCGAGCCGAGGUACAUAAAAACCCUUACCAAUUGUCCUCAACCCUGUCUACGACCGCUAUUAUCUCAGCACAAGACCUAACAAUCCCAGCACUGCACCUCGCCGUUCGGUCCCAAAUCCCUUCAGUUCGUUGAAAGCUUGCAAGUACAAAUCUACUAUUCUCAGAUUGGAGUUAGAAUUUGUAAUUGGGUUUUCAAAGGAUCUGUUCAUCGGCUGUUCAUUCGACGCGGAAGCCAAGAAAUCCAGGAACAUGGGAAGCAGACUCGGGAGAAGAGUUGUUCACUUCGCAAAUCUUCCAAUCAAGCUUCUUAUGCCUACCUCCUUCACCAACAUCACUGAAAUUGCUCUUAAAACCACUCCUUCUGCUUCUAAAAUUGAAAUCAAGCGCGUCCUUGAGAGCCUUUACGGCUUUCAGGUCGAUAAAGUUCGAACUCUUAACAUGGAGGGGAAGAAAAAGAAGCGUGGAGGGAUUUUGAUCGCAAAGCCUGAUUACAAGAAGGCCUAUGUUACUCUCAGAAAUCCUUUGUCAAUCUCUCAGGACAUGUACCCGAUCCGCAUUAUAGAGGAGGAUAAGAGGAAUAUGAACAAACAGUCUAAGUCCAGCAUUGUUGAGGAGGGCGAGGCAAAGAGGCAUUGGCUGCAUGAGAAAGAGCCUGUGGGAAUCAAAACUUACAAGGGUUUUGCUGAUAGAGGCCGCCGACGAAUUGGCGGCGGCGCUGAAACGGUUGAGCCAUCAACUAAGUUUCCUUGGAGUAGCAUGAGGUCUGUGAGUUGGCUAAAGUUUGAAACUUGGUGAUCGAAAGAUUUGGAUCUCUUGCAAGUUCAGCUAGGUAAUUGUCUAUGAGUUUACACACAUUAGAAUUCCCAAUUCUAUGUUGCUGCUGUUGCUGUUCAAACAGUGAGUAGUAUUCAAGGAGCCUUUGCACUACUUCUAUGUCAUGCAUAGUGCGUUCUUCUUGUGUACUGAGGAGCAAGAAUAUAACAGUUCUGAAAUCAAAGCUGGUGAUGCCGAAUACACCCUUGCCAUCUUUAGCAUCUGCAACAAGAACCUGCACGAAACUGCUUCUCUUUGUGGAGGAACAAUGCUUAGUAGGCUUUCAAUAAUAGCUUUAUGUUCUUUGCUGCGUACAAUUCCAAGUUCAUCUUUCCUACCGCUCAAAAUACUUACUUGCUGGUCACUUUUGUCCUGUGUAUAUUCUCCGAGUCCUGGGGCCAUUUCAGUGCCUGUUAUAAUUCUCGUGAAAUAGUCUAUACGAAGUGCAGCUAAAUCAUUUAACCACGACCCAUCCUCACUGACUGUAUCUCCUACUAUGUUCUCUCUGGAGAGUUUCCGAGCUACCGAGUCACAGCACCGUCUCACAAUUUGUAGAUUUUCAGCCCAUGGCGAGAGACUCUCGCAAGUUUUGAGAACAGCCAGUGACUCUUUCCAUGACAAAAGGACUACAAAUGUGAGGAAGGACUCUGUCUUGCAAAUGAGGUUUCCAUCUUCGAAUUCCUCUGUCAUUUCCAAAAACUCUGAUGCACAUCUCAAUGGGGCUACAUUACUUGAGUUCAGGUCUACUGGGAAACCAUAACAGUAUUUGAGAACCAUUUCGAAUGCUUUCGAUCCACCUGGGAAGUUCUCGAGUUCUAGGUCAUAUCCUUUCUGGGUUGAGAUUGAAGAUUCAAGUUCCUUUCGGCCUAUGUAGCCACAUUUUGAAAUCAAUGUAUACUGUUUCAAGAAAGAUUUGGGGGGGGGGGGGGGGGGGGGAAGAGGUGAGCUUACAUCUUUCAUCAUUGGGCAACUAGAAUGAGCUACACUGAAAUUUUAGAUGGAAAUUUUUGAGAAAUAGAAAUGCAAUUUCUUUGUUAGCUUGUUCAA
Molecule: RNA transcript, 1865 nt
Organism: Cucumis melo (muskmelon)
Lineage: Eukaryota; Viridiplantae; Streptophyta; Magnoliopsida; Cucurbitales; Cucurbitaceae
Exons: 5
Source: RefSeq, a predicted model, not a curated record